GACGAACGCUGGCGGCGCGCCUAACACAUGCAAGUCGAACGAGCGAGAGAGAGCUUUCUUUCUUGAGCGAGUGGCGAACGGGUGAGUAACGCGUGAGGAACCUGCCUCAAAGAGGGGGACAACAGUUGGAAACGACUGCUAAUACCGCAUAAGCUCACGUUGCCGCAUGGCACAGAGGGAAAAAGAGCAAUCUGCUUUGAGAUGGCCUCGCGUCCGAUUUGCUUGUUGGGGAGGUAACGGCCCACCAAGGCGACGAUCGGUAGCCGGACUGAGAGGUUGAACGGCCACAUUGGGACUGAGAAACGGCACAGACUCCUACGGGAGGCAGCAGUGGGGGAUAUUGCAAAAUGGGGGAAACCCUGAUGCAGCGAGGCCGCGUGGAGGAAGAAGGUCUUCGGAUUGUAAACUCCUGUUGUUGGGGAAGAUAAUGACGGUACCCAACAAGGAAGUGACGGCUAACUACGUG
This 466-nucleotide ribosomal RNA is filed under the name uncultured bacterium. RNAcentral's name for it is "partial 16S ribosomal RNA". It matches the Rfam family "Bacterial small subunit ribosomal RNA", at positions 28 to 507 of the family's 1533-position model. The record is from RNAcentral.